Long non-coding RNA from Lotus japonicus, 3132 nucleotides. RefSeq lists it as uncharacterized. The record is from RefSeq and is a predicted model, not a curated record. NCBI's taxonomy places the organism in Eukaryota, Viridiplantae, Streptophyta, Magnoliopsida, Fabales, Fabaceae. The transcript has 5 exons.
AGCAACUAAACGUGUUUUUUUUUAUCCUAGGAUUCAAUUCUUCUUCUUUUUAUUCCAACAAUGCUUAAUUUUUCUCAAGUCCUGGAACUUUUUUUUUUAAUGAAGUGUAGUCUAGACCGUUCUGAUUUUUGGUUAUGGUUAAUUUGGUUUCCUUUUUUACUUGGGUGUCUAAAGUUCUUCUCUAUUGUUGUUGUUUAUAUGUUUUUGCUUGAAAUGAAACAAAUGAUGCAGCAGUUGCGUUUUGAAAAGGGGAAUGCUCUUUAAGACUAUGGAUGAUUUCACACAGAACAAUUCAUUACAAUUUUGAAUUUCAAAUUCAAAAGUUUGUGCCUCUAUCUAUAACUAUAUUCUAUCCCUAAACCCAUUUAACCAUUUUAAACAGAUAUGUUUAUCAGAAAAAAAUCAUAUGACCUUUCUUUGAACAAUCCAUGGGUCCCUCCGCAACAACCUCUCUUGCCCAGCUACACACGCGAAGGAAUUUUUCUUUUCCGUCCUCCUUCUCCACUCCCAACCCGAGCCAAAAUCCACGAUUUGCCUCUGAUCACUGCCUGGAAGUUCUCCUCGAAUUCUCCUACCCCUUGCACUGAAUCCUUCUUUCUUCUCUCACAAAUGUUCGAACUUUCGGUUCCACCAUCCAGAGCUCCAUCCUUCACUCUCGAGGCAAUCAUUCACUCUUGGGCUUAAUUUCAAUGUUCAGAUUAUCUUCAUUCUCCACCUACUCUCGAUCAUGAUUUAUUGCUCAUGUAUCUUCCUUUAUUUAGGGCUUAAUUGAUUAACGGUUAUUGUUUUCAUCAUGAUUUAGUGUUUUCAACUUUAUAAUUUUCAGGUAUCUUCUCCACUACCUUCCAUCUCUAAUUUUCAUCCUUCCAUCUCUAAUUUUCAUUGGCCAGGUCUGAAUCGUCCUCUUCACCUUGGCUCCGUUAUUCUGUCAAUGUUUUCUUCCCAGUUCCCUACUGAAACAAGAAUCAAGUUGUGUUUUUAUAUGGAUGGAUUGUGACCAAUUAUUGGUUUUAUAGAUAGUCAAUUCAAACCCCUAAUACCAAUUGUGUCAGUUUUUUAUUGCUUUAUUUCCCUUUUCUAAAAUUUGUGGCAAUUGCUAGGGAUUGAACGUGGUGCCUGAGGAUUUUGUGGAAGUCUGUGCUCUCUGAUAUGCAUGUUGAUAUGUUAAUUCAAAACAAUGAAGUGCUUAUCUGGUGGUGAUAUCUAUGAAGGAUGGGGUGGUGAUUGCGUGAAUGGGGAUCAUUGAAGAUUGAGCAUGUGGAGCUUGGCCUUUGGAAGUAGGUAGAGCCUAAAAAAGGAACCCCUUUAGUUUGUAUAAAUGGAGAAUAACACAACGAUAGCAGAAACCAUGCAAAGAGAUUGCUUGACCUCAUAUCAGUAAACAAAUGUGGCAUGAACACCAAGAAGAACACAAGAUAGCAGUAUUUAUAGACAAGUGAAAGUGAGAAACAUUUGAGCAUUUCAAAAAUUUAAUUAAAUUCACUUAAAUUGAAUUGAGUUUCAGAAGCAAACCUGCUUGACAACUAUGCAUACCAAACCUGACAUGGCUUCUGAUACACAUCUAUUCUCCUCCUUCAGACAACACAUUAUGAACAAAUCAAACACCUUCAUCAACAGUUCUAUUAUCAGAAACUUAGGUCAGGGUGAUGAAAUUUACCCCAAAUCCUGGUCAACAGGAAAACCUAAAAUUUCGACUUCCUCCUUCAACCAAGCUUAGACCGAACCUUCCUUCGACAAGUACACCUACCCCUAACAACUGCAACAGGACAAGGGAUCUGCAAGAAUGACGAAGAUGACGGGCACACUCUUCAGCUUCAGCCAGAACUCCUUCAACGAUCAGUGACCUCAUCCCCUUCCUUAUACCUUAAACACGCAACAGGGACAGGGCAAGCAGGCAUGACGAUAACUCACGAACGCUUAGCAGGGAAACACUCCUCACCUUCAUCACAUACGCUCGAGUAGAAUAGAGGCGAAAAAAGUCUCACAAAGGAAGGGCCACGAUUAAAGAGUGAAAAUGGAGAGAGAGUCAAUUGGACGGCUGAGAUUGAAAGUUCUUUUAGGAAUAGUGAUUUCUUGAGUCUCUUUUAAAGUGUAGUAGAUUUGGUUUUAGGGGAUUUUCUGUUUGGCCCAGGUAUCUUCCGGACAUUGCUUUCAGAAAAUGUAAUGAGUCUUUCAAGGUAAAAACUUUCUUUUUCCAUGCAAAUUUCUUGCCUUAAUUUCGAAUUUUUACCAUUUCUUUUCUUAUUCAUAUUCCUCUCUAACUUAUAUUUCUUACUAAGUUAUUGGAAUGCGCCAUUCUUUCAUGUGUUUCCUUCUUUCAUUUUCCUAGCUGUGUUUCCUCUAUGACUUAUGUUCCAUAUGAUGUUGCUUAGCGACUUAGCGUAAUGUUCUAUUUAUUUAACUUUUUAUUAUUUUGUGUCAAUUAGCCUAACUACUUGUUGCUGACUCUUUAGUUUUCUUGCUCUGAUAAAUCACUAUUUGUUGAAAUGAGCUCAUUUACUCAUGCAUUGUUUCUAAAACAAUUGUCUUCUGCUCAUUUGAUUUUCUGGGCUCCUUGCUACCGUCUCCUAAGUUUUCUUGCUAUUAUGAAUCACUAUUUGUUGAAAUGAGCUCAUUUGCUCAUGCAUUGUUUCUCAAAAUUUGUCUUUAACCGACACCUGUCAUGGUUUAGGUCGUGUCUCCAACCGAUUAUGUUACUAGCUUUUUCUUAUCAUCAUUAUUGAUUUGGGAUUUUUACCAGGUAACUUCUCCAUGCUCGCCCGGAGCUUUCUAGGGAUGACCUUGAAGCUGCCAGGUUUUGAGAAGGGUUAUGAGGAAUAAGUUGAUUGGAGAGUUGUUGAUUAUUUUGGAUAUUGGAUUAUGAGCCUCUUGGGUGUUCAGGGUUCACCAUUAUUCUGCGAGGUUCUCUACUCUUUUUGAAAUAGAAGAUGAUUCUGAAGAAGGCAUAGAGAUACAUAGCAGAAAAUUGCCUAUAUGAAAUGAAGUAUAUCCAAUUAAAUGAAGUAGGGAUUUUUUUUUCUUUUUUUAAUAUUGGUUUUCUUGAUUGAGGCACUUACAUUGAAGAGUUUUUGAUUUUUCCUGACUAACCCAACUUCUCCAUCAAGUUUUCUAAGUUAAUUUUAAUUGUCGUCA